AAGGCCUCCCUAUAACCCUAAAAACAAUAUGUUGAAGACAGACCUCAGCCUCCCCUCCUGCGCCGUUUCGACUCGACGUCUUAAAGCUUUCAAACCUCGCCUCAGCUCCGAUGACUGAGGAGAGGGCAAUAGUUUGGCUACCAGGUACGUUUCUCCCAUUCCUUUUAUUAUUCCUCUUAACAAGCAACUGAUAAACACGAAAAUCGAAAAAAAGAAAGAAAAGAAAACCAAAACUAAUAACCAGCAAGAUUAGAAAG
This 257-nucleotide long non-coding RNA is filed under the name Gossypium raimondii (Peruvian cotton). RNAcentral describes it as "long non-coding RNA (GRAI_LNC006772)". Lineage: Eukaryota; Viridiplantae; Streptophyta; Magnoliopsida; Malvales; Malvaceae. The record is from RNAcentral.